CAAUAGCGUAUAUUAAAGUUGUUGCGGUUAAAAAGCUCGUAGUUGGAUCUCGGCAGGCAGGGGGUGGUUCGCUCUUAGCGCUACUGCCCCAUUUGCCUGUGUGAUUGGCGGAGGUUUCGGGGUGCUCUUCGUUGAGUGACCCGGGGCGCCGUCAGGUUUACUUUGAAAAAAUUAGAGUGCUCAAAGCAGGCUUUUCACGCUUGAAUAUUCGUGCAUGGAAUAAUGGAAUAGGAACUCGUUUCUAUUUUGUUGGUUUUCGGAAAUCGAGUUAAUGAUUAAUAGGGACAAUUGGGGGCAUUAGUAUUCAGACGACAGAGGUGAAAUUCUUGGACCGUCUGAAGACUAACUACUGCGAAAGCAUUUGCCAAGAGUGUUUUCAUUUA
Molecule: ribosomal RNA, 383 nt
Filed under: uncultured eukaryote
Lineage: Eukaryota
Description: partial 18S ribosomal RNA
Rfam family: Eukaryotic small subunit ribosomal RNA
Source: RNAcentral